Molecule: ribosomal RNA, 397 nt
Filed under: uncultured bacterium
Lineage: Bacteria
Description: partial 16S ribosomal RNA
Rfam family: Bacterial small subunit ribosomal RNA
Source: RNAcentral
AUACGUAGGGGGCGAGCGUUGUCCGGAAUGAUUGGGCGUAAAGGGCGCGUAGGCGGCCCGGUAAGUCUGGAGUGAAAGUCCUGUUUUUAAGAUGGGAAUUGCUUUGGAUACUGUCGGGCUUGAGUGCAGGAGAGGUAAGUGGAAUUCCCAGUGUAGCGGUGAAAUGGGUAGAGAUUGGGAGGAACACCAGUGGCGAAGGCGACUUACUGGGCUGUAACUGACGCUGAUGCGCGAAAGUGUGGGGAGCAAACAGGAUUAUAUACCCUGGUAGUCCACACUGUAAACGAUGAAUGCUAGGUGUAGGGGGUAUCGACCCCUUCUGUGCCGCAGUCAACACAAUAAGCAUUCCGCCUGGGGAGUACGGCCGCAAGGUUGAAACUCAAAUGAAUUGACGGGG